GCCAGGUGUGGUGGUGCACACCUGUAAUCCCAGCUACUCGGGAGGCUGAGGCAGGAGAAUUGCUUGAACCCAGGAGGCGGAGGUUGCAGUGAGCCGGGAUCGCGCCACUGCACUCCAGCCUGGGCAACAGAGUGAGACUCUGUCUCAA
Unclassified non-coding RNA from Macaca fascicularis (crab-eating macaque), 148 nucleotides. It matches the Rfam family "Metazoan signal recognition particle RNA". From Rfam's summary of the family: The signal recognition particle (SRP) is a universally conserved ribonucleoprotein. It is involved in the co-translational targeting of proteins to membranes. The eukaryotic SRP consists of a 300-nucleotide 7S RNA and six proteins: SRPs 72, 68, 54, 19, 14, and 9. The record is from Ensembl. Lineage: Eukaryota; Metazoa; Chordata; Mammalia; Primates; Cercopithecidae.